GUAAGCUCCAUACCAAUUCUUACUUUUGACAAAUAAUAUUGUGUUUUAUUUGUCCCAUUAGUCUCAAUAUCACUAACGUAAUAUGUAGAUAGAAGAAGUUAAUAACACGGAAAAAACUCUAAAAUAAUCAGAGUACAAUCACGUGAAGGAUCUUGGUUUGGAUGAAUAUGGAAAUGUCUUACAUUGCUGACGGCCUUGUUGACAAAUCGCAAGCCAGAGAGGCAGCUGGUUUGGUGGUGGAUUUGAUCAGGUCUAAACGUAUGGCUGGAAGGGCUGUGUUGUUUGGUGUUCCACUAGGAACUUGCAAAACUGCCCUCGCCAUGGCUAUUGCUCAAGAUUUACUCAAAAAGGUGGGAUCAGAAGUCAAAAGUACUGAGUAAAAGGAAAACUAUGGUUUUGAUGGAAAACUUUCGUAGAGCUAUUGUACUUUGAAUCAACAAAAAGAAUUUUAUGAAGGAGAAAUCAUUGAACUUACCCCAGUUGAAACUGAGAAUAAAUGGGUGGUAUGGAUGUGGCAGAACUGUUAGUCAUGUUUAAACAUUUUACUGGAAGUAUCUAUAUAUAUAUUUGUCUUAGUACAGUUACAGUGGCGUGAUAAUUAAUGGCGCAAUAACAAUUUGUUGUUUUCUCAAUUGUCACGUAAUAGGAGCCAGUUCCGGUAUGAUGGUCCCCGUUCCGGGAACGAGAGCCAUGCCGCCUGGUGAAGGCGUCAAGAAAGGACGCAAAGCCAAACCGGAUGAAUAUCCAGAAACAAGAGGUGGUGGUGGAGCUCCACAGAUGUCUUGGCUCAUAGUAAACUUGACUUCCUACUCUCCAUGACCCACGAAUAAAAUGAAAUUAUCAAAGAAGCAAUAUGGAUUUUUUAAUAUAAGUUCACAUAUAUUUUACAAAAACGAAAGGGAUGCUUCUAGCAUAGACGUAUUAAUAAAUGCUUCUGUCAAUUCACUAA
Molecule: long non-coding RNA, 949 nt
Organism: Daphnia pulex (common water flea)
Lineage: Eukaryota; Metazoa; Arthropoda; Branchiopoda; Diplostraca; Daphniidae
Exons: 4
Source: RefSeq, a predicted model, not a curated record